RNAcentral lists this unclassified non-coding RNA (229 nucleotides) under Pleospora sp. RNAcentral describes it as "partial contains 5.8S ribosomal RNA, internal transcribed spacer 2, and large subunit ribosomal RNA". Lineage: Eukaryota; Fungi; Ascomycota; Dothideomycetes; Pleosporales; Pleosporaceae. The record is from RNAcentral.
AACGCAUAUGGCACCUGCCAGCCCUGCUGGAAGGUAUGCCUGUUUGAGAAUCAUACUAUUUCUGAUCGAUCGUGUCCACGGUCGGUCGACAUGGGCCUUCACCACUGAUUGCCCCGAAUUGCGCGCGAUUGUCGUGUUAGGGAGUGGGCAGCAAUGCCGAUGCAUCUAUUCGACUAAUCAGCCCCGUGCUCGUGAUCUCAAAUCAGGCAAGGCUACCCGCUGAACUUAA